UAGCAGUGCUCUUAAUACCCUCUCCUCCUGCACCAGGAAACAAAGAGGGAAGAAAAAGUUUCUUGCCUCUUAGGCAGCUCCAGACUUUUUCCUGGACACCCUCCCAGCUAGCUGUGGCACACUAGCCCCCUUCAGACUCUGAUCACACAGCCAACAGCAGUCCUCUCCCUGGGAUAUGACCGAAGCCUGAGCCUCAGCUCCCAGCUCCCACCCGCCCUGGCAGCCUUGCAAGGUGAUUGUGUCCCAUUUGUGGAUUGGAGAAGCACAGGUAGCUGAAACCCUGAUGGCAACCCUGCCAUCUUUCUGGACAAAGGACCUCACAAGGGAGCACGGGUACGUGGGGAGUUUAUUGCCUUUUGGGAGGUCUGAGGUCUUCUGCCAGCGUUCAGUGGGUGUUCUGUAGGAGUUGUUCCACGUGUAGAUGUAUUUCUGAUGUAUCUGUGGGUAGGAAGAUGAUGCCCGCAUCUUACUCUUCUGCCAUCUUCCCAGCCUGGACAUUUUUAAAAAUUGAAGUAUAGUCAAUUUACAAUUUUUUGCUAAUUUCACGUGUAAAGCAAAAUGAUCCAGUUUUUUUGCAUAUUAUAUUCCAUUAUAGGUUAUUACAAGAUAUUGAAUAUAAAUUCCUGUGCUAUACAGUAAAUCCUUGUUACUUAUCUAUUUUAAGUAUAGUAUUCAAUAGCUUGUGUCUGUUAAUCCCAUAUUCCUAAUUUGUCCCUCUCUCCCCCUCCCCUUUGGUAACCAUAAGAUUGUUAUCUAUGCCUGUGGGUCUUCUUCUCUUUUGUAUAUAGAUUCCUUUGUAUUAUUUUUAGAUUCCUCACAUAAGUGAUAUCAUAUAGUAUUUGUCUUUCUCUGCCUGACUUACUUCACUAAGCAUAAUAUUCUCUAGGUCCAUAUAUGUUGCUGCACAUGGCAAUAUUUCAUUUUUUAUGGCUUUGUAAUAUUCUGAUGUAUAUAUCUACCACAUAUUCUUAAGUGAAUAAUCUGUUGUUGGGCACUUGUGUUGUUUCCAUGUCUUAGCUAUUGUAAAUAGUGUUGCUAUGAACAUUGGGAGAUGAAUGUAUCUUUUUGAAUUAGAAUUUUCAUUGUUUCCUAAUAUAUACCCAUGAGUGAGUUUGCUGGUUCAUAAGGUAGCUGUAUGUUUAGUUUUUUGAGGAAUCUCCAUACUGUUUUCCAUAGUGACUGAACCAUUUUACAUUCCCACCAACAGUGUAGGAUGGUUCCCUUUUUUCCACACCCUCUCCAGCAUUUAUUAUUUGUAGAUUAUUGAUGAUGGCCAUUCUGAUCGGUGUGAAGCGAUACCUCAUUGCAGUUUUGAUUCACAUUUCUCUAAUAAUUACAAAGUUGAAAUAUUUUCAUGUGCCUUUUGGCCAUCUGUAUGUCUUCUUUGGAGAAAUGUUUAUUCAGGUCUUCUGCCCAUUUUUUGAUUGGGUUUUUAAAAUAUUGAGUUGUAUGAGCUGUUUGUAUGUUUUGGCUAUUAACCCCUUGUCAGUCACAUCAUUUGCAAAUACUUUCUCCCCUUCAGUAGGUUGCCUUCAUUUUGUUGAUGGUUUCCUUUACUAUCAAAAAGCUUUUAUGUUCAACUAGGUCCCACUUGUGUAUUUUUGCUUUUGUUUCUUUUGCCUUGGGAGACUGAUCUAAGAAAAUAUUGCUACAAAAUAUUUUUUUAAACAAGAAAAUAUUGCUACAAAUUAUGUCAGAGAAUGAUUUGCCUAUGUUCCCUUCUAGGAGUUUUAUUGUUUUCUAUUGUAUAUUUAAGUCUUUAAACCAUUUUGAAUUUAUUUUUGUAUGUGGUGUAAUGAGUAUUCUAAUUUCACUGAGUUACAUGUUGCUGUCCAUCUUUCCCAACACGACAUGCUGAAAAGACUAUCUUUCUCCAUUGCAUCCUCUUGCUUCCUUUGUCAUAGAUUAAUUGACCAUAGAUGAGUAGGUUUGUUUCUGGGCUCUCUAUUCUGUUCUAUUGUUUAUUGUGCCAAUACCAUGCUGUUUGGAUUAAUGUAGCUUUGUAGUAUAGUCUGAAGUAUGGAAGGCAUAUGCCUCCAGCUUUGUUCUUCUUCCUCAGGAUUACUUUGGCAAUUCAGGAUCUUUUGUGGUUCCAUAUAAAUGUUAGGACUAAUUAUUUUAGUUCUGUGAAAAAUGUCAUGGGCCUUUUGAUAAGGAUUGCAUUAAAUCUGUAGAUUGCUUUGGGUGGCAUGGCCAUUUUAACAAUAUUAAUUUUUCUAAUGUAAGAGCAUGGGAUAUCUUUCCAUUUCUUUGAAUCAUCUUCAAUUUCUUUAUCAAUGUUAUAUAAUUUUCAGUGUAUAGGUCUUUCACCUCCUUGGCUAAGUUUCCAGGUAUUUUUUGAACAUGAUUUUAAACUGGUUGUUUUUUUACUUUAUUUUUCUAUUUCAUUAUUAGUGAGAAAAUGCAACAGAUUUCUGUAUGUUAGUCUUGUAUCCUGCUACCUUGCUGAAUUAAUUUAUUACUUCUAAUAUAGUUACUGUGUGGAGUCUUUAGGGCUCUCUAUAUAGAGUAUCAUGUCAUCUGCAAAUAGAGAGAGUUUUACCCUUUCUUUAAAGUUUGAAUAACUUCUAUUUCUUUUUCUUGUCUGAUUCUUGUGGCUAGGACUUCCAAUAUUAUGUUGAAUAAAAGUGGUGAGAGUGCACAUCCUUGUCUAGUUCCUAAUUUGGGGGGAAGUCUUUCAGCUUUUCACCAUUGAAUAUUAGUUGUCUCUGGGUUUGUUGUAAAUGAAUUUUAUUAUGAGAGAUAUGUUCCCUCUAUACCCACUUUGGUGAGAAUUUUUAUCAUGAAUGGAUGUUGAAUUUUUUUGAAUGAUUUUUCUGCAUCUAUUGAUGGUCAUGUGGUUUUUGUCUUUCCUUUCAUUGAUGGUGUGUAUCACGUUGAUUGUUUUCAUAUGUUGAACCAUCCUUGUGACCCUGGAAUGAAUCUAAUUUGAUCAUUGUGUAUGAUCCUUUUUAUGCACUGUUGAAUUUGGUUUACUAAUAUUUUGCAGAGGAUUUUUACAUCUAUAUUCAUCAAAGAUGUUGGCCUAUGUGUUUUGUUUUUUGUAAUGUCUUUAUCUUGUUUUGGUAUCAGGGUGAUGGCAACUUCGUAGAAUGAAUUUGGGAGUCUUCACUUCUCUUCAAUUUUUUUGAAGACUUUGAUAAGGAUAUGUAUAAGUUCUUUUUUGUAUGUUUGGUAGAAUUCCACAGUGAAGCUGAAGACUUGUUUUGCAGCGAGUUUUUUAAAUUACAGAUUCUAUUUCACUUUGAGUGAUUAGUCUGUUCAAAUUAUCUGUUUCUCCUUGACUCAGUUUUGGGAGGUUGUAUGUUUCUAGAAACUUGACCAUUUCUUCUAGGUUGUCCAGUUUUUUGACAUAGAAUUAAUCAUAGUAUUCUCUUAUGAUAUUUUGUAUUUCUGUGGUAUCACUUGGUAUUGCUCCUCUUUUAUUUCUUCUUUUGUUUAUUUGGGUUCUAUCUCUUUUCUUCUUGGUGAGCCUGGCUAGAGGUUUGUGAAUUUUGUGUACCUUUAAAAAACAAAAAAGCUCUUGGUAUAUUGAUCUUUCCUAGUUUUUAAUCUCUACUUUAUUUAUUACCUCUCUGACCUUUAUUGUUUCCUUCCUUCUGCUAACUAUGGGUUUUAUUUGUUCUUCUAUUUCUAAUUCUUUUAGGAGGUAGAUUAAGCUGUUUAUUUGAGAUUUUUCUUGUUUCUUGUGGAAGGCCUGUAGUGCUAUGAACUUCCCUCUUUGAAAUGUUUUGCUACAUCCCAUAGAUUUUGUAAGGUUGUGUUUUCAUUUUUAUUUGCCUUCGAGUAUUUUCUGAAUUCUUCUUUGAUUUCAUCAGUGACUCCUUUCUUUUUAGUAGCAUGUUAUUUACUCUCCAUGUGUUCGUUCUUUUCCCAUUUUCCUUCUAUAGUUGAUUUCUGGUUUCAUACUAUUGUGGUCAGAAAAGAGGCUUGAAAUAAUUUCUAUCCUCUUAAAUUUAUUGAGACUUGUUUUGCGACCUAGUAUAUGGUCUAUCCUACAGAACGUUCCAUGCAUGCUUGAAAAGAAUGCUUAUUCUGCUAUUUUUGGAUGUAGUGUCCUGUAGGUAUCAGUCAAGUCCACCUGUUCUAUUGUGUCAUUUAAGAUCUGUUCUGCCUUAUUGAUUUUCAGUCUGGAUGAUUUAUCCAUUGAUGUCAAUUGAGUGUUAAAGUCUCCUACUAUUAUUGUAUUAUUGUCAAUUUCUCCCUUUAUGUCUGUUAGCAUUUGUUUUAUAUAUUUAGGUAUUCCUGUAUUGGGCAUGUAUAUGUUAAUAUUUGUAAUAUCUUCUUCUUGAAUGGAUCCCUUUAUUAUUAUAUAAUGUCGUUCUUUGUCUGUCUUUAUGGCCUUUGUUUUAAAGUCUAUUUUGCCUGAUAUGAGUAUCAUCGUCCCUGCUUUCUUGUUGUGUCCAUUUGCAUGAAAUAUCUUUUUCCAUCCCCCUCACUUUCAGUCUGUGUGUGUCUUUUGCCCUGAAGUGAGUUUCCUGUAGGCAGCAUACUGUAGGUUCUUAAGUUUUUAUCCAACCUAGUACUCUAUGACUUUUGAUUGGAGCAUGAAAAAAAAAGUCACUAACAGAUAUUGACUAUAUUAUCUAUCUCUCUAUCUAGAUAUUUGGCUUUUCAUGUUUUUUCCUUUCUCUCCACCCCACUUCUGUCCUUUUUUUUCUUCCAGACUGUGAGGCAUGGUACUAUUUUCCUUCACAAUGUGAUGUUACUUUUGAUGGUAAUGGCUUAAAACUAGUGUAACCAUAAAAUUUAUUAUACAAACUGGAAUGCCUUUAGGUGUGUAGAGAGUCACUACUCAAAAUUAUAUCAGGAGUAUGGAUGAAAACAGGGACAAAUGGUUAACCUACUACUAUGUAAGGGUUAAACUGGCUCAUAGAACAUUUUGUACUUUUCCAUAAUAGAGCCAAAACAAAUGCAAUACUAGCCUUUCUGUUUUCCAUUUAAGCACUUCUAAGUGUGACAUUACUAUUUUAGAUAUACUAUAUUAAGAAUAUUUUUUUCAAGUCAAAACAUUUAAGUGAACUUUUAAAAAGUUUCUUUUGUUGCUUAGGUUUUUUAUUUGUUGUUUGGUUGGAUUUUUACUAAAAGUGUAAAAAAAUGUUGCUUUCUACUUAAAACUACCUCUGAAUGGAAGAAUUGGGUUUAAUCAUUUCUGAACUUGAACAGUCUGUUUCUCUGUACCACUAGAAAGAGUGGUGUGUUUAGCAAAUAUUGUUAAUGUGCCUGAAAGUCUACCUUCAAAGUCUCUACAGAGGUUUAACUGUAUAUAAGCCAAGGGUCACCCUUAGGGUUCUGGUUUUAGUCCAUCUUAUAAAACGAAGACUAUAGUGUCCUCUGUAUCCCUUUAGCAUCAUCUAAAUAAAGUUCUAACUAAUAUUCACAAAUGUUAUGUUACCUUACAUGUGAGGGCCAACCACAGGUUUAAAUGAAUACAAACUGUAACCAUGCAGGCUGCUCUUAUGCUACAAAUGUGACUGUUAAAAUUCUCUCAGUAAAGUUUCGCAGGUUUGUCCAAAGAAGUCUUUCAUGUCUUCUGUUAAAUUUAUUCCUAGGUAUUUAAUGCUAUUGAAAAUUGUACCUUUCAUUGGAAAUUUUAUAUUUUGUUUGAUCUGGUAUAUAGAGACAUAAUUUUUGUGAAUUGUUUUUUCUACCCAGCAACCUUGCUAAAAUAUGUUUAUUAAGUCCUAAAGUUUAUCUUUAGAUCCUUUUCAGUGUUCAACAUACACAAUCAUAUCAUCUUUGAAUAAUAAGUUUUGUUCCUGCCAUUUUAAACAUUAUAGCUUUUAUUUCCUUUUCUCAUUUUACAGCAUUAGGUAGACCCACCCUGUAAAAUAAUGUUGAACAGAACUGGUGAUAGUGGACAUUCUUGUUUUUCCCUGAUGAGAAAUGGAAAAUUUUCAAUAUUUCACCAUGGUGUUUACUGUGCUUUUCUUUUGGUAGACAUACUUUAUCAAAGUCAUUCUAUUCUAUUAUUAGUUUGCUUAGAGUGUUCACCUUGAUUACAUUUUGAAUUUCACCAAACACUUAAAGUGCAUUUAUUGAGAUGAUCAUAAGAUUUUUCCCUCUAUUAAUAUGUUAAUGGGUUGAAUUAAAUGGAUACGUUUCUAUGUUUAAGCCAACUUUAUAUUCCUAAAAUAAACACAGUUUGGUCAUGAGUAAUCUACGUCCUAAUAAUUUGUUUAGGAUUAUGUGUGUCCUCAUGAGUGACACUAGCCUUACUUUUAUUUCAUAUACUCUCUUUGACUUUGGUAUCAAGGUUAUGCUAGCUUCAUACAAUGAGCUGGGAUGUAAAACCUCUUCUUCCAUUCUCUAGAGCUUCAAGGCUGUGCGUAAUGUAGGGCCAGGCUCUCCUGUGAUCAGCUGUUUCUGAAUUGCCUUUCUCUUUGAAGACUGGAUUUUACUUAAAAGGUAGAGACAGAAGGGGCAGCUCCAGGUUUCCAUCCCUUCAAACUUUUUGAGGUGCCCAUCUUCCCUGCAAGAUACCUCUAAUGAUGCUGUCACUCUGAAAGCUACCUGCUCCUGUUCCUAUGCUGAUACCAAUCUCCUCUACACACAAAGUUAAAAGUCACGGCUCUGUUAACUUGCCUAGAUGAUUUUGAUCUGUCCUGUAUGGUCACGAAUGGCUGACCAACCCUGGAGCUGUGUACAAUUAUGACCAUAGCUUCAUUUAUUGAGUUCUUUUAUCUAACAAUAAUAGGAUUUACUAAAAACUCUCAUUUAUAGAGUAUGUACUGUUAGCCAUUUUUGUGUGCUAGAUUCUGUACAUAUACAACCUCAUCAGAUGCUCACAAAGGAAGUCAGAGUUUUCACAAAAUUAAGAAUCUCUGACUCCAGUAAAAGGCAGAUUGGGGGUUCGCAUUCUAAGUUCAAAACCCUUGCUCUUUUCUCAGAGUAAAAGCUCCUGAAGUGUUGAGUACAGAACUGAUGGUGUAUAUGAUGACUUCAGUGAUAAUCUGAAGUUUUUAUAAGAUUUAAUUUAAAUUAAAAAAAUAUAAAAUUGUUUGACUUAAAAGGCUUUGUUCUUCUCUUGAAGGAAGGGUUUCCCAAUAUGUAAAACACAGACCACAUACAUACUGCACAUGAAGUGUUGUCCCAGAUGGUAUUCCAGACGAAAUCAUUGAUAUUAAAAACAAACAUCUAAAAAUAGUAACAUGCUUAUCUUAUAGUGCUACAGAAAAAUAUAACUAGAACACUAAACCAUUUGGGGACAGUUUGUGGAGAGACAGAGAAAAAAACUUACGGCACAAGCCUCAUGGCAAAAUGCCACAACAUCCCCUGCAAACACGCCUAUCCUUCCAAGUUAUUCAGAGGUGGGGAAGGAGCAGCCACAAAUCUCUUUAUUUCCUCUGCAAAAUCCUCCACUGACCUGACAGUCACAGAUCACACUCAGAAGCCCCCAACUGCCUGAUUCCAGCCUUAUACCCCUAUUAAUAUAUACGAGAGCAAGUUACAUUUCUGAGCUCGCAUUUUUAUCUUAACACCCCAAAAAACAGUUCUGAAGAAAAAACCCUGCUCAGAAUCCAUUCUGCUUAAGGAAUAAUAAAUGCAAUUAUUUCUCCCUCUUAAUACAGGUUUAAAGAUAUUUCCUCACCCAAAAGGACUGAAAAUCUAUGGUUCAAAUAA
Non-coding RNA from Kogia breviceps (pygmy sperm whale), 7623 nucleotides. Lineage: Eukaryota; Metazoa; Chordata; Mammalia; Artiodactyla; Physeteridae. The record is from RefSeq and is a predicted model, not a curated record.